GUCCAUUUCUGGAACUGCUAUUUGUAUAUUGCAUGAUAUUUUAUCAGGAAAAAAUAUAAAACAGAUCUAAUUUCAUGAAAAUGCUGUUGCCAUAAUGCUCAGGAGAACAGGGGGAAGAGAGAGAUUCAAGUCUUCCUAAUGUCUACCUUAUAUGCAGAGCCUUGGAAAGAUGGGCAAAUGCUCUGUGACAAGCCACCAGGGUAGACUGGUACUGAAAAGACCCUACUACACACAGGGGCUCUGUCCCUGGCUGGAAAGUUACAAGUCAGCCUACCUCUCUGUGAUCUGGUUUCCACACCUACUACUCUUUAUCCCAUGAGGAGCUUCUGGAAACUAAAAUAGCAGCUGCCCAGGUAGAAGAGUGUUGACCAAAGGACACAUCACCAGCACAGACUGUUAAUCAUGUGACUAGAGAAAACUCUCAUGGUGGCAUUCAAAUUUCCAUAUCCUUCUUCUAUGGAAAUUUCUGAGAGACCCAGAAAAGAAGCGUAACGACGAGGGAAAGUGAUUCCUGCAGACCUGAACAUUCCAGACUUACCAGGUGAUCCAGCUGUCUGUCAGCGGGAAGAGGCUGAGGCGCCCCCUUCUGGUGCAUCUGAAUAGUAAGAAACCCUGUGUAGAAAGAAACCCUGUAGCAAUUGGGCACCUUCUCCGUGAUCUGUCUGCUUCCAAUACCAAAAAUUGUUGCUUUUUAAAUGACAUCCAUCCUAAGCUUAAAAAAGACGCAUAUUAUUUGUAUAAAAUGUUGAAGACGCAGAACAAAAAAUGUAAAUCACAUGUAAUCAUCCCUUCCAGAAAUAAUCGUUAUUAAAAUUUCUGUGUAUGUGUAAAAAAAAAAAUUGCAAUCCUACUGUAAUAUAAUCCUGUAUACUGAUAUUUUUCACCUAUCACUGUAUGUUGAGCAUUUUCAAUAGUCAAAUUAUUUCUUGAAAAUAUUAAUGACUGGGGAGUAACCUUUCAAAUAGGUGUGUCUUUAUUUUUAAACCAGUCCACAAUUAUUGUAUAUUGAAGUCAUUUCCCAAAUUUUGUAAGUAUAAGUAUUGCAUCCAUCCUUAUAUGUAUUUAAAUGCAUCUCUUAUUAUUUCCUUGAGAUAAGUUCCUAGAAGUGGAAUCACUGGAUUUAAAAAUGUGGACAUAUUUAUGCCAGACGCGGUGGGUCAUGCCUGUAAUCCCAGCACUUUGGGAGACUGAAGCAGGUGGAUCACUUGAGGUCAGGAGUUCAAGACCAGCCUGGCCAACAUAGUGAAACCCCAUCUCUACUAAAAUUACAAAAAUUAGCCGGGUGUGGUAGUGCACGCCUGUAAUCCCAGCUACUCAGGAGGCUGAGGCAUAAGAAUCACUUGAACUCAGGAGGCGGAGGUUGCAGUGAGCCAAGAUGGCACCACUGCGCUCCAGUCUGGGCGACAGAGUAAGACUUCAUCUCAAAAAUAAAUAAAUAAAAUUAAAAUUAAAUAAGAUAAAUAAAAAAUAAAAAUGUGGACAUAUUUAAAUCUUCAUAUAUAUUACCAAAUGCCCUCCUGAAAGUUUUUACCUGUUACAUUCCAACCAAUAGUGUAAGGGCAUGACUCUUUCCCUGUGUUUUGGGAUGGAUGUUAUCAAAGUUCUCUCCCACCCAGGCCAAGUAUGGUAUAUGCUUUGAUUUAAUUUGAAUUUUUAAAUUAUUAUUUAAAAUGGACAUUUUGUUGUCCAUUUGAACAACUUUCUUUUGAGUCACUGUUCAUGUUCUUUGCCCAUUGUUUCUCUUUUAUUAGUAAGAACCCUAUUGUCAUUUUUAUAUUUUAAAUAAAAUUUCAUUGUAUAUACAUUUAUAUUAUCUAUAGUAAAGUAUAUUUUAUUAUUAAUGAGAACUUUUUAUAUUAAAGAUCCUAACCUAC
Molecule: long non-coding RNA, 1874 nt
Filed under: Homo sapiens (human)
Lineage: Eukaryota; Metazoa; Chordata; Mammalia; Primates; Hominidae
Description: non-protein coding INHBA-AS1:7
Source: RNAcentral